RNAcentral lists this ribosomal RNA (402 nucleotides) under Pedinellales sp. RNAcentral's name for it is "partial small subunit ribosomal RNA". It matches the Rfam family "Eukaryotic small subunit ribosomal RNA", at positions 582 to 975 of the family's 1831-position model. The record is from RNAcentral. Lineage: Eukaryota; Dictyochophyceae; Pedinellales.
AUUCCAGCUCCAAUAGCGUAUAUUAAAGUUGUUGCAGUUAAAACGCUCGUAGUCGGAUUUCUGGUUGGACCGCGAUGCAGGACUCGCAAGGGUUCGUGAUUGUUGUGGUUUCCUUCCAUCCUCAGGUUUGCGCGUGCUGGCCUUAACUGGUCGGUGUGUGUGGUCCUGUCGUUUACUGUGAACAAAUUAGAGUGUUCAAAGCAAGGUGUACUUGAAUACAUUAGCAUGGAAUAAUAAGAUAGGACUUUGGUGGUUCUUUUUUGAUAUUUUGUUGGUUUGCACGCCAAAGUAAUGAUUAAUAGGAGCAGUUGGGGGUAUUCGUAUUCAAUUGUCAGAGGUGAAAUUCUUGGAUUUAUAGAAGACGAACUACUGCGAAAGCAUUUACCAAGGAUGUUUUCAUCG